RNAcentral lists this ribosomal RNA (253 nucleotides) under uncultured bacterium. RNAcentral's name for it is "partial 16S ribosomal RNA". It matches the Rfam family "Bacterial small subunit ribosomal RNA", at positions 524 to 776 of the family's 1533-position model. The record is from RNAcentral.
UACGAAGGGGGCUAGCGUUGCUCGGAAUUACUGGGCGUAAAGGGUGCGUAGGCGGGUCUUUAAGUCAGAGGUGAAAUCCUGGAGCUCAACUCCAGAACUGCCUUUGAUACUGAAGAUCUUGAGUUCGGGAGAGGUGAGUGGAACUGCGAGUGUAGAGGUGAAAUUCGUAGAUAUUCGCAAGAACACCAGUGGCGAAGGCGGCUCACUGGCCCGAUACUGACGCUGAGGCACGAAAGCGUGGGGAGCAAACAGG